AAUAAUAAUACCUACCAUUUAUCGAGGGCUUACUAUGCAUCAGGAGCUAUGCUAUGUUCUGCAUAUACAUUAUCUUAACCGAUUAAAAAUGUGUUGAUGAUGUGGAUUCAUGAGAAGAGGGUAUGAAUUUUGUGGGAGUAUAUGUCUAGAAAGUUACCCGAGAAAAGAAUUAGCUGAAGAAAGGUUUCUUUAGAAUUCUACAUAUAAGGACUUUCCAUUAUAACAAUAGCACUUCUGAGGUGCAUCUUUCCAAGAUCAGCAAGGAGAGAAUAUUUGAAAUUGACUCUGAGCACUCUCCAUGGACUGCUGUGCAGGAGGCUCAUUCCACAUGCAUGAAUAGGAGGCUCUGGCAGUAAAAACAACCUUGGGAGGAACCCUUACUCAAAACUACCCACCAAAACUACAGCAAAAGACAUUUCUGCUUGGCUUGAGUCUGGAAUAUGUCAUCUGUUAUCAGAUCCUGAAAAUGUUGAGCAUUUGUGCAAAAGGAGUUCAGCUACGCGUGUAUGCACAUGCAGUGGUGCCUUUGGUCCCUUUUGACUGCAAGUUCCAAAUUUACCAAAGCAGAAUAUGUGGAGGCUUCCAACGUCUGUGCCGUUCUUGGUGCAUAGGAAGGAGUGAUCAACACAAGGGCAGAGGAGCAUUUUGGACAGUCUCACUCCCACCAAACUGACACUGAUUGCCCAUCUUGACUCAGGAGCAUUUGUUCCCGGGCUGAUACCUUUUCCUCAUGAGUGAGAUGCAGACCUGCAGUAAAGCAUCCUUUCACUUCUACUUCCUGGGACAUGAUCAUGGGGCCAGAACCCCUACAGGUUAUGGAGCUUGUGGUAAUGCUGAAGUAAGCAUGAUUCCCAGCAGCAACCUCACACCUCCCCUACUUCAUGGUCUUAUCUGCUGGAGGUCUCUGAAGCAUCCAUGGCUUUCCUGGUAUCUAGGUACCCUCCAAAAGCAAGACCUUCUAGAACAACUGGGUAUUUAUGUCUAAAUUGCUAGCCCAUAGGAAAUAUGUAAGAAGGGUCAGAAUGAUGUUUUGUUUUGUUUUUUUUUCCCUCUGUGUUCUUUAUGCAUAGUUGUGACCUGAAGUUGAAAUAUUAGAAGCCUUUUCUUUCUUGAGUCAUGACUCAUUCACUCCUCUUUCUGGGAACCCAGAGGGACUAGAUAGAUCCCACAACACAGGCCUUAUGGAC
Molecule: long non-coding RNA, 1187 nt
Filed under: Canis lupus familiaris (dog)
Lineage: Eukaryota; Metazoa; Chordata; Mammalia; Carnivora; Canidae
Description: lncRNA (ENSCAFG00805019121.1, ENSCAFG00845020650.1)
Source: RNAcentral